AGCUUGCUCUGGCUGACGAGUGGCGCACGGGUGCGUAACGCGUAUACAAUCUACCUUUUACAGAGGGAUAGCCUUUAGAAAUGAAGAUUAAUACCUCAUAGUAUGAUGAUAAGGCAUCUUAUUAUUAUUAAAGCUUCGGCGGUAAAAGAUGAGUAUGCGUUCUAUUAGCUAGAUGGUGUGGUAACGGCACACCAUGGCAACGAUAGAUAGGGGCCCUGAGAGGGGGAUCCCCCACACUGGUACUGAGACACGGACCAGACUCCUACGGGAGGCAGCAGUGAGGAAUAUUGGACAAUGGAGGCAACUCUGAUCCAGCCAUGCCGCGUGCAGGAAGACGGCCCUAUGGGUUGUAAACUGCUUUUAUACAGGAAGAAACACUCCCUCGUGAGGGAAUUUGACGGUACUGUAAGAAUAAGGAUCGGCUAACUCCGUGCCAGCAGCCGCGGUAAUACGGAGGGUCCAAGCGUUAUCCGGAAUCAUUGGGUUUAAAGGGUCCGUAGGCGGGCAAUUAAGUCAGGGGUGAAAUCCCACAGCUCAACUGUGGAACUGCCUUUGAUACUGGUUGUCUUGAGUUAUAGUGAAGUAGAUAGAAUGUGUAGUGUAGCGGUGAAAUGCAUAGAUAUUACACAGAAUACCGAUUGCGAAGGCAGUCUACUAACUGUAUACUGACGCUAAUGGACGAAAGCGUGGGGAGCGAACAGGAUUAGAUACCCUGGUAGUCCACGCCGUAAACGAUGGAUACUAGCUGUUCGGUAGCAAUACUGAGUGGCUAAGCGAAAGUGAUAAGUAUCCCACCUGGGGAGUACGUUCGCAAGAAUGAAACUCAAAGGAAUUGACGGGGGCCCGCACAAGCGGUGGAGCAUGUGGUUUAAUUCGAUCAUACGCGAGGAACCUUACCAGGGCUUAAAUGUAGAUUGACAGGAGCAGAGACGCUCUUUUCUUCGGACAUCUUUCAAGGUGCUGCAUGGUUGUCGUCAGCUCGUGCCGUGAGGUGUCAGGUUAAGUCCUAUAACGAGCGCAACCCCUGCCGUUAGUUGCCAGCAUGUAAAGAUGGGGACUCUAACGGGACUGCCGGUGCAAACCGUGAGGAAGUUGGGGAUGACGUCAAAUCAUCACGGCCCUUACGUCCUGGGCCACACACGUGCUACAAUGGCCGGGACAGAGAGCAGCCAUGUUGCAAGACAGAGCGAAUCUAUAAAACCGGUCACAGUUCGGAUCGGGGUCUGCAACUCGACCCCGUGAAGCUGGAAUCGCUAGUAAUCGGAUAUCAGCCAUGAUCCGGUGAAUACGUUCCCGGGCCUUGACACACCGCCCGUCAAGCCAUGAAGUUGGGGGU
Molecule: ribosomal RNA, 1336 nt
Filed under: uncultured prokaryote
Description: partial 16S ribosomal RNA
Rfam family: Bacterial small subunit ribosomal RNA
Source: RNAcentral